CAAGCCUGGGGCCCCAUUGCACUCUGGGGAAGGAGGAGGGGGAGGAGUAACAACCUCGUUAAAAAACCAGGGUUCAUCUGGCCCGGAUGAUAGUACCCUGUCAGGGCUCCUAUCUAGGAUACAGACGAACAUGCUGUCUUGUAGAAAGGUGUUACGCACGUCAAACGAACUCUGAUCAAGGUAUAUAUGUUUAUAUAACCUUGAUCAGAAAUUAAGUAGGCCUUCAGGUUCAGAUAUCACACUAUCUUUAUAAUAUUAAUAAUAAAUAACUCAGUAAAGUGUCAGUCUCUAAACAAUGAUGAAUGGAGACGAGAACUACACAAGUUACGAAACUAAUAUUAGUGAGGACUUCUCUAGUGCGGCACGAAUAAUUGUUUUUUUUAUGCUGCUUCAGAUAUACCCAAGGAUAUAUCCAGAUAUAUCUAUCUUGAUGCAUGUUAAAUCUACUAGCAAGAGUCUGAAAUCCCUUGAUGUCUGUUGUUUUGCAUAUCAACAACAUAAACAGCAAUUGUUAUGAGAGGAUAUGGAAUAGAGGUGAGUUGAAUUUACUUAUUGUCAUAUGAAAGUCAUUUAAUAUUAUUUUUAUUAUUUUCAGUACAAGAUGAAGAGGAAAUAUCAUAAUAUUAAAGAAGCUUCGUAUUGCGUCGGGUCGAUCGGCGUUUAUUGUGUUUAUGUAAGGGUUUUCAAAGAACCUUAAGGUCUCAGUUAGUAUUACUAUAUGUUCUAAUUAUUAUUGAUGGUGUCCGAUACGCAAAGUUUUCAAGUGCCGCAAUAGAAUGAGAAUUUUGUAGAGAAUAGCGAAAGUUGAGGCCUAGAAGUAGAUUGAACUAGAUAAAUUAUUGAACAAUAUUAAAUUUGACUGAAAAUAUUCAAAUCAAUUGCAAUACACAGAAUCUCGGGAAUAGAAUCUCAGAAUAUAUAUUUAUACCAAAACACUUUUUUGGACUAGAUUUUAGCUUAUAGACUGGCGCUAUGGAUGUGCCGCGACCAGGACUGGAGAUUGGGCAAGGCUUUCCAGUUAUGUUGGAUUUGGAUGUUUAUUAUAAUCUAAGAUUAUAAACCCUGAGCUCUGCUACCAAUUUCAUUUGAGGGCAUGGUCUGUUCAUGCUGAUAUAUUCUGAGUGGCGGUAAAUCGUUUCUGAUAUUCGGUAUAAAAUCAUGGAAGACUAUGGAGUUGACGUAGGUAUUUGUCAACUAGGUUAAAAAUUUACAGUUACUUGAAGAUUCUUGAAGAGAUUCCUGAUGAGUUACCUUGACUGGUGAAGCUCUAGGGCGAAGAUUUGGGGACACUAUCAAUACAUAGGAUUAAGGUUGAGAACGAGAUUGAACCAGGUUAGUGCUAGGACUAGAUUAGAUGUAGCUUGUAAUCGCGAGUGAUAGUGAAAAUAUGGGGCCCUCUUAGUCUCGAAAUCAUUCGAAAAUCUAAACAGUUUUUUACUGUCGGUCGUAGUUUUCGACAUAAUUAUUGUAAUCAGAAAGCAAAUCUAUUAUUUUUCAGGGAAUAUAUUUUUUUUCGUAUAGCAUUUAUUUAA
This is a long non-coding RNA of Sitophilus oryzae (rice weevil), 1532 nucleotides long. RefSeq lists it as uncharacterized. NCBI's taxonomy places the organism in Eukaryota, Metazoa, Arthropoda, Insecta, Coleoptera, Curculionidae. The record is from RefSeq and is a predicted model, not a curated record. The transcript is spliced from 4 exons.